Molecule: ribosomal RNA, 440 nt
Filed under: uncultured bacterium
Lineage: Bacteria
Description: partial 16S ribosomal RNA
Rfam family: Bacterial small subunit ribosomal RNA
Source: RNAcentral
CCUACGGGAGGCAGCAGUGGGGGAUAUUGCACAAUGGGGGAAACCCUGAUGCAGCGACGCCGCGUGAGUGAAGAAGGAUUUCGGUAUGUAAAGCACUAUCAGCAGGGAAGAAAAUGAUAGUACUUGACCAAGAAGCCCCGGCUAAUUACGUGCCAGCAGCCGCGGUAAUACGUAGGGGGCAAGCGUUAUCCGGAUUUACUGGGUGUAAAGGGAGCGUAGACGGUUAUGUAAGUCUGGAGUGAAAGCCCGGGGCCCAACCCCGGGACUGCUUUGGAUACUGUGUAGCUGGAGUCCAGUAGGGGCGGGCAGAAUUCCUGGUGUAGCGGUGAAAUGCGUAGAGAUCAGGAGGAACACCGGCGGCGAAGGCGGCCUCCUGGACUAAAACUGACGUUGAGGUGCGAAAGCGUGGGGAGCAAACAGGAUUAGAUACCCCAGUAGUC